This 671-nucleotide small RNA is filed under the name Histoplasma capsulatum. Its description in RNAcentral is "hypothetical RNA". Lineage: Eukaryota; Fungi; Ascomycota; Eurotiomycetes; Onygenales; Ajellomycetaceae. The record is from RNAcentral. RNAcentral also lists the same sequence under 1 other name.
CUUUGAUCAAACUUCAUAUAUAUUCGUUGUCCAUCGCUCAUUUCUCCGACCGAUACAGCAAGGUUCGGUCUAAGAACGCACAUUGGGUGGAUGCGAAAGGUUCCAUAAAUCAUUGUUUGCAUGUUACAAACCAUGCACAACGUGUGUGCGGACCUCCACACAGCUCUCAAAUGUUACUCAGAUGCUGUUGACCCGUACAGUAUACUAUUGUUUCCUCCGACCUUGGCCAUAGUUCGGGAUACCAGGCGAAGAGAACUCAAGACGUAGAUACGUAUUCUCAAUAACAGAUGUGAGUUUCCACAUCAAUCUGCCACAUUUCCUGUCCGCUGGAAGCACGGGCCAUGACGUCCUAGAUGUAACCUCAAUUUAUCGCACCCGGGCUAUUGCAAUCCGAUAUAUCGGUUGAUGUCCCCACCCAAUCCGAUCUUUCGCGUCGCCAUAUAUACCCUUCGUCUAGAAGUUUAUGACCAACCUCUUCAUCCGAAUCUAGAUGGCCAUUGUGGUUAAACCGAGGUUUGCUUGACCACAUUCGACGGAUUAAGGAGAUAACAAAAAGAAGAAGAAAUAAAAUAUUCUGGACAAAAGUUACGGCCGAUGCAAACGGACCUUGAGUACUAUUUAUUGAUGGCAAUUACUAGUAUUCUGUGAGAAAAAUGACUAAUAGUUACCCG